This is a long non-coding RNA of Canis lupus familiaris (dog), 1827 nucleotides long. RefSeq lists it as uncharacterized. The transcript is spliced from 3 exons. The record is from RefSeq and is a predicted model, not a curated record. Lineage: Eukaryota; Metazoa; Chordata; Mammalia; Carnivora; Canidae.
AACUGCUCUACCAAUGUCUAUUAAUGUCCUUGGAUCUGUUGUGGAAACAACACGAGAAACAUGUGGACAAGUUUUCGACACCUAUCCUGUAAAACAAUCGAAAUUAUUGAACAUCUUCCGUCGUAGAAAAUUUCAAGAACCAUAGGAGAUAUCAGAAGGAAACCAGAUGGAACAUCAUGUUUGAGACCAUGGUGCCCAAAGGAAGUGAAAGGAUACCUGGAGGAAGUUGUUUGUCCUGAAGGAUGUGUCUCUCCAGUCCAUUCAGGAUGGUGACUACAACAUUCCCCAGCCAAGCAGGAGACACCGUUGAUGAGGGAAAGUACCCCAUCACUGUCUUUAUAAGCAGCUUUGGUGUCGCCAAUGGUAAACAUCCUCUCAGAUAAGCUAAUGCAUGGCAAGAGGCAAGCACUCAGCACCCUUGCCACCAGGAAGAUUAUGUAUUUCAUCCCAAAUGGACGCUGUCUGAUGUUCAUCAGAAUUUGUGUGGAAAGCAACCGAGAAAGCAACAUUCGUUCCUCAAAGAUACUGAGCUCACCUUGACAGCAUUAACUUGCACUUCUCCUCUGAUGUUCUGGAAUACUCUCAUGAUGAAGAAAGCAAAAGAGAAAGUGUAAGGGGGAGAGCAGUAGAGGAAAAGGGAGAGAGAAUACUAAGCAGGCUCCAUCCUAAGCAUGGAGUCCAACCUAGGAUAAUCUGAUGACCUGAGGUAUGAACUCUGAGAUGAAACCAGGAGGCAGUCACAUACCUGAAUGAACCAAACCUGUGCCCCUGGAAUAAGUUUUCUUGAAUCAACUAAAGGAAUGAAUUUCCUGGUUACUUUCAAUCGACUCCUUUGCUGGUUGUAUUUUGGUUUUUCCUCAAGCGUGAAGUAGUUUGGUCCAGUUUUGUAUCCACAGAGAUCCAUAAACAUUUUUCACCUAAGGUUUUUGAUUGUAGACACUGGAAAACUCGUUACCAUAGAAAGAGCUGUGGACAUCUUGCUGUCAGAAGACCAAGUGGAAAUUUUGAAACUUGACACGCACUAUCCAGGAUGAAAAUUCACUGGAUAGGCUCAGCAAUCUGAUGAAGAAACAAAGUAGACAGUGGACGUGUAAACAGAACAAGAGAAAUCGUACUAUCAUGAGAGGAGUGCGAAAAGACUGAACAAAAAUUGAUAGGAACUUAAACAUGCAUGCCUAGGAUACAUCAAAAGUGCUAAGUUCCACAGCAUGGAGUUCCUGUAGGAAAGCAGUUGGUGGGGAUCCCUGGGUGGCGCAGCGGUUUAGCGCCUGCCUUUGGCCCAGGGCGCGAUCCUGGAGACCCGGGAUCGAAUCCCGCGUCGGGCUCCCGGUGCAUGGAGCCUGCUUCUCCCUCUGCCUAUGUCACUGCCUCUCUCUCUCUGUGUGUGUGUGACUAUCAUAAAUAAAUAAAAAUUAAAAAAAAAACAGUUGGUGUAGAAGAAGGUAUGGGGGCAAAAUGGCUGAAAAUUUCACAAAUAUGUGACUCAGAUCUACAAAGCUCUGAAAACCCUCCUCCUGACACAUUGUAACCAAUCUGUUGGCAAAGAGGAAGAAAAACCUUGAAAGCAGAGGAAAAGGACACGUUCAACCUAACAGAAUACGAAUUCCAAGGCCCGUGACUUCUCAGAAAACAGAGGUCAGAAGACACUGCAAUGGUGACACAAAGUAUAGAAGGAAAACACCUCUGAGCCUAGGAUGUUAUGUUCAGGAAAGAUAGCUUUAAAGAAUGAAGGCAAAAGGUGAAUGAAAAUGAAAACAAGACAAAGUCGGCAAACAGGUGGUAAACAACUGGAAGAAUCAGUCAUUGAGCCUGAUUUAUUUAUUUUCA